Molecule: ribosomal RNA, 611 nt
Filed under: uncultured archaeon
Lineage: Archaea
Description: bacterial SSU rRNA
Rfam family: Archaeal small subunit ribosomal RNA
Source: RNAcentral
AGUAAUACAAGGCAUACGGCUCAGUAACGCGUAGUCAACCUACCCUAUGGACGGGGAUAAUCUCGGGAAACUGAGCAUAAUACCCGGCAGACCACUUAUCCUGGAAUGGUUAGUGGUUAAAAUGAUUCGUCGCCAUAGGAUGGGACUGCGGCCUAUCAGCUUGUUGGUGAGGUAAUGGCCCACCAAGGCGAUUACAGGUACGGGCUCUGAGAGGAGAGGCCCGGAGAUGGGUACUGAGACAAGGACCCAGGCCCUAUGGGGCGCAGCAGGCGAGAAAACUUUGCAAUGUGCGAAAGCACGACAAGGUUAAUCCGAGUGAUUUCUGCUAAAGGAAUCUUUUGUUAGUUCUAAAAAUACUAGUGAAUAAGGGGUGGGCAAGUUCUGGUGUCAGCCGCCGCGGUAAAACCAGCACCUCAAGUGGUCAGGAGGAUUAUUGGGCCUAAAGCAUCCGUAGCCUGUUCUAUAAGUUUGCGGUUAAAUCUAUACGCUCAACGUAUAGGCUGCCGUAAAUACUGUAGAACUAGGGAGUGGGAGAGGUAGACGGUACUCGAUAGGAAGGGGUAAAAUCCUUUGAUCUAUUGAUGACCACCUGUGGCGAAGGCGGUCUACCA